CACUCAAGGCACCCAGAUGCAUGUCAUCCCCGGUCUCGCCUGCAGCCCUGUAGGACCUCAAGGUCCUGGGAGAUCAGGCUUCCUCCUGGAAGAGUGGCUGCAGCUGCGGCACCUUGGGCCUGAUCCUCCGGUCCUCUGAGCUAUCCAUUCACUCCCUGCCCUUCCAAAUUUACUCCCCACCCCACACACACCGGAAGCCUCAGAGCGCAACCUGGCAACCUGCCGGCUCCAGCUGUGCGGGGUUUGCCUUCCUGGGAAACCCUGCGCUCCACCCACCCAGACCAGGCUGGCCUCUUCCAGAAGGCAGUCAUCUUCCCGGGGGGGAAAGAGAGAGAAAUGCUUGCCGGGUUUCCAGCAGAAAGCCGCUGUACCUCCUGUCAGUGCUUCUCUGCAGUGCACACAUCCAAACUCAGAAGCCCAGGCUGUCUUGCCACUAGGAUGUGAACAUUGGAACUGGGUCUAACAAUCAGGUGCCUUGUGCAGGGAUUCUUUUGGAAGUGAGCCAGAAACUACAGUAAAGACUCUUGCCCACGUUUUCCCUGCCUCCUGACCAACCAUGGUGCUUCCCCAUGUGGCCCUGCAUGAUGUGCCAAGCACCCUGUUUCUCGGAGUCUAGAGCCAAUGUAUCAGCACACGACUGAGCGCCAAUGUCAUGUACAACACAUGGAAGGAAAUGAGGAUGCUUCAAAGAUACACUGUAUUUGAUUGUAAUCCUGGGAAUGUAACUAAGGGGCCUCUUAACUUGGACAAAAUGGCUGCCAAAGUGGUGAGCGGGCAUCAUCCUUCCUUACUUGAAGGCAGAGACCAUGAA
Felis catus (domestic cat) is the source of this 811-nucleotide long non-coding RNA. RefSeq lists it as uncharacterized. The record is from RefSeq and is a predicted model, not a curated record. NCBI's taxonomy places the organism in Eukaryota, Metazoa, Chordata, Mammalia, Carnivora, Felidae. The transcript is spliced from 5 exons.